UUGUAGAAUUGAUGAGGUGAAUGAUCCCUGAAAAUGAAAUUUUCACCCAAGGGUUUGACACCCUUUCUUUGGC
This 73-nucleotide transfer RNA is filed under the name Chlamydia trachomatis. RNAcentral's name for it is "tRNA-Phe(gaa)". The record is from RNAcentral. Lineage: Bacteria; Pseudomonadati; Chlamydiota; Chlamydiia; Chlamydiales; Chlamydiaceae.